UACGUAGGGGGCAAGCGUUAUCCGGAUUUACUGGGUGUAAAGGGAGCGUAGACGGCAGAGCAAGUCUGAAGUGAAAGCCCGCGGCCCAACUGCGGGACUGCUUUGGAAACUGCCCGGCUAGAGUGCUGGAGAGGUAAGCGGAAUUCCUAGUGUAGCGGUGAAAUGCGUGGAUAUAUGGAGGAACACCGGUGGCGAAAGCGGCUCUCUGGCCUGUAACUGACACUGAGGCUCGAAAGCGUGGGGAGCAAACAGG
Molecule: ribosomal RNA, 253 nt
Filed under: uncultured bacterium
Lineage: Bacteria
Description: partial 16S ribosomal RNA
Rfam family: Bacterial small subunit ribosomal RNA
Source: RNAcentral